RNAcentral lists this long non-coding RNA (1116 nucleotides) under Homo sapiens (human). RNAcentral describes it as "non-protein coding lnc-THG1L-1:1". The record is from RNAcentral. Lineage: Eukaryota; Metazoa; Chordata; Mammalia; Primates; Hominidae.
CCCUGUCCAUGGAGAACUUGAGGUGGAAAGCAAUUUGGUUCAAAAUGACCUUUAUUACUUGAAAGGGAAUAUUUCCAGUCGUUGCCACCCUCUUCCCCUUCUAGUAUUGGUAAAUUUGGUGCACCCACUGAGUGGGUGAAGAGUUUUAUGUGUCCUUAAAUGUUUUAGGGAUUUUUUUUAAACAACAACAACAAAAAAAAACCAGGAUUUGGGGGACUUUUGUGUUUGAGCAUCUUGAUCUCUAAACCAGCCUUUUCCAUCACCUCAUACCUAGGCUGUGCAUAGGUCAGAAAAAUGUAAAUGGGAGACUGGGAAAUUGGAUUGUUCAUAUUAGUUUGUAAAUCUAAAAACAUACACGACACUCCGGGUUCCAAAUUGGCUGAAAAUGAAUUGCAAUUCUCCUGCCUCAGCCUCCUGAGUAGCUGGGAUUACAGGCGUGCACCACCAUGCUCGGCUAAUUUUUGUAUUAUUAGUAGAGGCGGGGUUUCACCAUGUUGGCCAGUCUGGUCUGGAACUCCUGACCUCAGGUGAUCUGCCUGCCUCUGCCUCCCAAAGUGCUGGGAUUACAGGUGUGAGCCACUGCACCCGGCAUCAGUUAGAAAAAAAUUCUAGUCCUUCAAAAUGUUUCACCCUUCCACAGUUGUCUUUUUUGUCCUAAUUAUAAAAGUAGCAUACACUUAUGGAUAAAUAAGGCCAGGUGCAGUGGCUCAUGCCUGUAAUCCCACCACUUUGGGAGGCUGAGGAGGGUGGAUCGCCUGAGCUCAGGAGUUCGAGACCAGUCAGGUCAACAUGGCGAAACCCUGUCUCUACCAAAAAUGCAAAAAAUUAGCCGGGCAUGGUGGCUGGCCUGUGGUCCCAGUUACUCGGGAGCCUGAGGUGGGAGGAUUGCUUGAGCCUGGGAGGCUGAGGUUGCAUUGAGCGGAGAUUGCGCCACUGCACUCCAACAUGGGCGACAGAGUGAGAUCCCAUCUCAAAGAAAUAAAAAUAAAAUAAAAUAAGAAAAAUAAGACUAGCAGCAUGAUUGGCUAGGGACAAUCACCGUUAACAUUUUGGUGCAUUUUGUUCAGGCUUCAUUCAUAUAUAAUAUAUAUAUGACAACAUACUUAUACUUAAAAA